CGAUAUCGACGAGUUUGAUCUGGCUCAGAACGAACGCUGGCGGCAGGCCUAACACAUGCAAGUCGAGCGAACCCUUCGGGGUUAGCGGCGGACGGGUUAGUAACGCGUGGGAAUAUACCCUUUGGUACGGAAUAGCCUCGGGAAACUGAGAGUAAUACCGUAUGUGCCCUUCGGGGGAAAGAUUUAUCGCCAAAGGAUUAGCCCGCGUUGGAUUAGAUAGUUGGUGGGGUAAUGGCCUACCAAGUCUACGAUCCAUAGCUGGUUUGAGAGGAUGAUCAGCAACACUGGGACUGAGACACGGCCCAGACUCCUACGGGAGGCAGCAGUGGGGAAUCUUAGACAAUGGGCGCAAGCCUGAUCUAGCCAUGCCGCGUGGACGAUGAAGGCCUUAGGGUUGUAAAGUCCUUUCAGAUGGGAAGAUAAUGACGGUACCAUCAGAAGAAGCCCCGGCUAACUCCGUG
Molecule: ribosomal RNA, 461 nt
Filed under: uncultured bacterium
Lineage: Bacteria
Description: bacterial SSU rRNA
Rfam family: Bacterial small subunit ribosomal RNA
Source: RNAcentral